GGCUCGUUCGUCUAUCGGAAAGGACACGGCCCUUUCAAGGCCGAGAGAGGGGUUCGACUCCCCUACGGGUCA
Molecule: transfer RNA, 72 nt
Filed under: Planctomycetaceae bacterium
Lineage: Bacteria; Pseudomonadati; Planctomycetota; Planctomycetia; Planctomycetales; Planctomycetaceae
Description: tRNA-Glu
Rfam family: tRNA
About the family: Transfer RNA (tRNA) molecules are approximately 80 nucleotides in length. Their secondary structure includes four short double-helical elements and three loops (D, anti-codon, and T loops).
Source: RNAcentral